GAUGAACGCUGGCGGCGUGCCUAAUACAUGCAAGUCGAGCGAACGGACGCGAAGCUUGCUUCUCUGAUGUUAGCGGCGGACGGGUGAGUAACACGUGUAUACCCUACCUAUAAUACUGGGAUAACUUCGGGAAACCGGAGCUAAUACCGUAUAAUCUUUUGAACCGCAUGGUUCAAAAGUGAAAGACGGUCUUGCUGUCACUUAUAGCUGGAUCCGCGCUGCAUUAGCUAGUUGGUAAGGUAACGGCUUACCAAGGCAACGAUGCAUAGCCGACCUGAGAGGGGGAUCGGCGACACUGGAACGGAGACACGGUCAAGACUCCUACGGGAGGCAGCAGUAGGGAAUCUUACGCAAUGGGCGAAAGCCUGACGGAGCAACGCCGCGUGAGUGAUGAAGGUCUUCGGAGCGUAAAACUCUGUUAUUAGGGAAGAACAGAUGUGUAAGGAAAUGUGCACAUCGUGACGGUACCUAAUCAGAAAGCCACGGCUAACUACGUG
RNAcentral lists this ribosomal RNA (497 nucleotides) under uncultured bacterium. RNAcentral describes it as "partial 16S ribosomal RNA". It matches the Rfam family "Bacterial small subunit ribosomal RNA", at positions 28 to 507 of the family's 1533-position model. The record is from RNAcentral.